UGCCCACUGAUUAAAAAUUAAAGGGCUGCAGUAUUUUGACUGUACAAAGGUAGCAUAAUCAUUAGUCAUUUAAUUGAUGACUUGUAUGAAAGAUUGAAUGAAAUAUAGACUGUCUUUAAAUUAAAUAUAGAAUUUAAUUUUUAAGUUAAAAAGCUUAAAUAAUUUAAAAAGACGAGAAGACCCUAUAGAGUUUUAUUUUUUAUAAUAAUUAAAAUUUUUAUAAUGGGUUUAUUAUGUUAGUUAUUAUAAAAAAUUUUAUUGGGGUGAUAAAAAAAUUUAAUUAACUUUUUUUUUUAGUUUAACAUAAAUAAAUGAUUGUUUGAUCCAUAUUUUAUGAUUAUAAGAAAAAAUUACCUUAGGGAUAACAGCGUAAUUUUAUUUUUUAGUUCAAAUAAGAAAUAAAGUUUGCGACCUCGAUGUUGGAUUAAGAUGAAAUUUAAAUGCAGAAGUUUAAAAUUUUUGA
RNAcentral lists this ribosomal RNA (463 nucleotides) under Lymantria sp. S01. RNAcentral's name for it is "partial large subunit ribosomal RNA". The record is from RNAcentral. Lineage: Eukaryota; Metazoa; Arthropoda; Insecta; Lepidoptera; Erebidae.